AGUGAACGCUGGCGGUAGGCCUAACACAUGCAAGUCGAACGGCAGCACAGUAAGAGCUUGCUCUUACGGGUGGCGAGUGGCGGACGGGUGAGGAAUACAUCGGAAUCUACUUUUUCGUGGGGGAUAACGUAGGGAAACUUACGCUAAUACCGCAUACGACCUACGGGUGAAAGCAGGGGAUCUUCGGACCUUGCGCGAUUGAAUGAGCCGAUGUCGGAUUAGCUAGUUGGCGGGGUAAAGGCCCACCAAGGCGACGAUCCGUAGCUGGUCUGAGAGGAUGAUCGGCCACACUGGAACUGAGCAACGGUCCAGAUUCCUACGGGAGGCAGCAGUGGGGAAUAUUGGACAAUGGGCGCAAGCCUGAUCCAGCCAUACCGCGGGGGUGAAGAAGGCCUUCGGGUUGUAAAGCCCUUUUGUUGGGAAAGAAAAGCAGCAGGUUAAUACCCCGCUGUUCUGACGGUACCCAAAGAAUAAGCACCGGCUAACUUCGU
Molecule: ribosomal RNA, 491 nt
Filed under: uncultured bacterium
Lineage: Bacteria
Description: partial 16S ribosomal RNA
Rfam family: Bacterial small subunit ribosomal RNA
Source: RNAcentral